This 477-nucleotide ribosomal RNA is filed under the name Triticum aestivum (bread wheat). Its description in RNAcentral is "partial small subunit ribosomal RNA". The record is from RNAcentral. Lineage: Eukaryota; Viridiplantae; Streptophyta; Magnoliopsida; Poales; Poaceae.
AUGGUUCUCAAAGACGAAAGCAGUGAGGACACGUCCAACCUGCCGUACAUGCACUCGACCUCAUCCACGGACGGGCUUAACCAGGUCCCUUUCAGCGUUGAAGAUCCAGGUUACCAGGGGCUUGAGUUGGAAACGAUGUCGCCAUGUGAGAAGCACGGCAAGGCAUCUGAGAGGCUUGUCGCAUUUGAAGGAAUAGACACAGGGAGAAGGUUCCUAGAAGGGCAGAAUUGUGGGUUUGUUGAAUGGGUUGACCACCAAUGGCCCCCAACAAUGCAAAAUGCAUUGUUGAAGCUGUGGGCCAUGGUUGAAGAUAGCAAGAGUGCUAGGGUGAAUGAUAAUCUUGAUAGUUCUUUCACUAUCCACCAUCGGACAGAAGAGAAGAACAAGCUGGAGGCCAACUAUGACAAGUUAGUCCAAGAUGUGCAUGAGCUUAUGAGCUUCCAGGAGGACAGGGUGGUGGAUUUCAGAUAUCUGUAG